Molecule: long non-coding RNA, 3296 nt
Organism: Syngnathoides biaculeatus (alligator pipefish)
Lineage: Eukaryota; Metazoa; Chordata; Actinopteri; Syngnathiformes; Syngnathidae
Exons: 3
Source: RefSeq, a predicted model, not a curated record
CAAGUUUUCCUCUGAACAACCAAUCAGAAGGUGCAAACAUGCUGAGGGCAUUGAGGGCCAGCAUCCUGACCCUUGUGAAGACAAAUUUGAAAUCUGAUCAGUAACAGAAACAGUUACUAAUCCGGCACGGAGUGAGAUAUGGCAACAUUUUGCUCACAUGGCCGACAGUCAGGGCAAGCCGAAGGAGCUAAGCUAAGUCUACACACCCGCAAAGACCGCGAGAGGGACAAACAUCUCGCUGAGUGGCAUAUUCAGAAAUCAAAGACCAACAGACCUUACUUUUCUGAGUGUUACGACAGCAUCGGGGGACGAUGUACGGCAAGGGAUCACGAGGCUGGUCUCAUCUUCGAGAACAAACAGAACGUAUGGUGACUGAUUAAAGGGCUCCACGAAUGGCUGCUCUGGAUCUACGGGGAGAAAAAAAACAAAACAGGACAACAGAUCUUUCCCAUCACAAGAGCGACGAGGACGACAAAAGAAGCAGUGAAUGCGUCAAGGGUGUUUUUUAGGCCGAGUUAUCUCCAAUAAAACCCGCUAUUACUCCGUGAUGACUAUCGCCGUUCGGGGAGACGGAAAGAAUAGAGAAUCGUGUCAAGACUUCCCGACACUCCUCUGCGCCGCGUCUCCAAUGCCGCCGUCAAGGUUAAUGGAACAAUGCGGCUCGGUGACGUUUUUGUUUCGGCGUGCCGCUCAUUUCCAGGAGUGAGACACAAAAGGGCGGCUGAAGAGAGAUCGCGAACAAAAGAGGGAAGAAUCGUUUGAGUAAAAAAAAAAAAAAAAGAAAAAAAGGUAAAACAGCAGCAAAUGGCAACUCAUGUCCUGUCUCGACCUCGUUGACCCUUGGGAAGAAUUGCGAUAUGGUUCAAAUCCUCGAAAAGAGAAAUACUAAAAAAAUUCAAAAGGGAAAAAAAUCCUUCUGACAAUUCGUCGGAAUCCUCCCCAUGGUGAUAUUUAAAAAAUUUAUAGUAACUGGACACUCUUAAUUGCCCCUAGGUGUGAUUGUGAGUGUGGCUGUGGCUGUUUGUCUCGAUGUGCCCUGCGAUUGGCUGGUAACCAGUUCAGGGUGUACCCCGCCUCCUGCCUGAUGACAGCUGGGAAAGGGUCUGGCACUCUCCGCGACCCUUGUGAGGAUAAGCGGCUAAGAAAAUGGAUGGAUGGAUGAUUUUGAGCAGUUUUACAUUAUUUGAUUACACAAAUAUUGAGCUGGGGCAUGGUAAGAGCAUUGGCCUCACAGUUUUGUGGACUGAGGUUCAAAUCCCGCCUGUCACUGCCUGGGUUGUCUCCAGGCAUUCAAGUUUCCUCUCACAUCCCAAAAACAUGCAACAUUAAUUGGACACUCUAAAUUGCCCCUAGGUGUGAUUGCGAGUGCAGCUGUUUGUCUUUAUGUGCCCCCCCGAUUGCCUGGCAACCAGUUCAGGGUGUACCCCGCCUCCUGCUCGUUGACAGCCACUCCCAGCACUCCCCAUGACGCUCGUGAGGAUAAGUGGCAAAAGAAAAUGGAUGGAUGGAUGGAUGGAUGAUUUUGAGUAGUUUUACAUUAUUUGACACAAAUACUGAGCUGGCGGCACGGUGUAGUCACUGGCCUCACAGUUCUAAGGACUGGGGUUCAAAUCCCGCCUGCCCCUGCCUGGAUUUUCUCCAGGCAUUCCAAUUUCCAACCACAUCCCCGAAAACAGGCAACAUUAAUUGGAGACUCUAAAUUGCCCGUAGGUGUGAUUGUGAGUGCCACUGUUGUCUGUCUCGAUGUGCGCUGCGAUUGGCUGGCAACCAAUUCAGGCCCGUUGACAGCCACUCCCGGCACUCCCCGCGACCCUCGUGAGGAUAAGUGGCAAAAGAAAAUGGAUGGAUGGAUGAUUUUGAGCAGUUUUAAAUUAUUGGAUCACACAAAUACUGAGCUGGCGGCACAGUGGAGUAACCGGCCUCACAGAUCUGAGGACUGGGGUUCAAAUACCGCCUGCCCCUGCCUGGGUUUCCAAUCACAUCCCCGAAAACAGGCAACAUUAAUUGGAGACUCUAAAUUGCCCGUAGGUGUGAUUGUGGAUGCGACUGUUGUUUGUCUUUAUGUGCCCUGAGAUUGGCUGGCGAUCAAUUCAGGGUGUAACCCGACUCCUGCUUGAUGAUAGCUGAGAUAGGCUCCGACACUGCCGUGACACUUGUGAGGAUAAGCGACUCAGAUAUAUAGCCAUAUAGACUCUGCAUGUUUGCUGAAUUGGCAAACAUGCGGAGCGAAUUUUGGGCUUGCACAAAAAUCAGAUGCUCUCUGUAAAAAUAAAUAAUAAAAUAGAGCUCAUAUAAUGUUUUUAAAAAUAAAUCUCUCAAUGCACUUUAAAAGAUUUUCAACAUAAAAGUUCACUCAUAAUGGUUUAAUGGCGUGUGCCACAAGUCUGCGUUUGAUGCUCUGUCUCCUCUAUUUAAAAAAAUAAACUUGAUAUUAUUUAAGAAUGGGGGGGGGGGGGGAACUCACACAGCCUGACAAAGCAAGGAGCUUUUACGACUUGGCUUUCGCAGCGAUUUCGCAAAGAAAUUUCGCCAAGUUACCUUUGGGUGCAGUCUCGAGACAAGCAGUAAGGAAAUACGAGGUCAAUAGUCAAGUUUGAGGCAUGGACGCGACUUGAGAUCGAUCCAUGCAGUCGAUGUGCAUGCGUGUGUUGGACUUUUCCUUCAUAUUCAUCAGAAAUGCUCCCAACAUCUGCAGGUUGUUGAACAGUGUUCCCAAAAAAGUUACAUGAAGCCAACAAAUAGGAAUCUGUUGGAUGACGCUCUUAAAAGCUAAAUCUAAAUGAUUCAAAGUCCGUUGUACGUAAUCAUGAGUCAUGGGCACACAAACGCGCCUUGAAAUUGGAAAUCUCACGCAGGAUUUGCAAAGAAUACAUCGCAGGCUCACUCCGGAGCAGACGCCUCAAUCAUCGCAUAAGAAGGGAGGCAUGAAGCAAUUUGCAGAGUUAACCGUCACAAUUUAUGGAAUUGACUUUAUCUUCCACCUCCUGGCACGCUUCCCAUCCCCAGAGAGUGUCUAUGAAUGGGUUUGUUUUUUGUUUUUUUUGUAAUAUUUGCCUGUGAGCAAUGAGCCUCGACUGGGCUUGGAUGACCUCUCGUUACUCCUCUUUUCCUCUCAAACGUCUCAAGUGUCCAAGAACCCAAUCAAAAACAUUCCUAAACAAGCCAGACACAUAGAAAAACAGCUUCUCGUAUUAUUCGAGCAAAUAUUUGAGUGAUAAUCUACUGUUUAGUAUGAUUGAUUUUUAUGAUUGUUUUUUUUUUUUUUUUUUUUUUAAGUUUUUAACCAUGCAGGCAAG